RNAcentral lists this unclassified non-coding RNA (200 nucleotides) under Hevea brasiliensis (rubber tree). The record is from RNAcentral. Lineage: Eukaryota; Viridiplantae; Streptophyta; Magnoliopsida; Malpighiales; Euphorbiaceae.
UCAUGGACGGUGUUGUCGAACUUGAAAAAUAUUCAUGAAAAUCCCCCUUCUCUAAAUGUUUCUGCUGGCCUGGAUAUCCUUGAUGCUGAAAAUGUUGAAUUAAGUUAUGAUGAAUCAAGCCAUGUGAGACAGGAUGGGGAUUUUACUGCAGAUAAUAUUGACUGGGAUAUUUCUGUUGAUAGCACUCAGAUUGAUUGGGA